GAACAAUACUUUCUGGUGCAGCGCGUUCCAACUGACCAGAAAGUGUGAUUGGCGCUUAUUGCCAUGUCAGGACGCUCGAUGUUUUGGGCGCAGUGGGUGCUGCGUCGCUCCGCAACCAUACCAUGGGAUCAGUUCACGCAGGAGUUAAUAGAGCGGUUUGGCGAUAGCUCGGCUAUCAAUGCUUAUGAGGCCAUGCACGUGACCCGUCA
Molecule: long non-coding RNA, 209 nt
Filed under: Salvia miltiorrhiza (redroot sage)
Lineage: Eukaryota; Viridiplantae; Streptophyta; Magnoliopsida; Lamiales; Lamiaceae
Description: long non-coding RNA (SMIL_LNC010791)
Source: RNAcentral